GACGAACGCUGGCGGCGUGCUUAACACAUGCAAGUCGAGCGGAAAGGCCUCUUCGGGGGUACUCGAGCGGCGAACGGGUGAGUAACACGUGAGUAACCUGUCCUUGGCUUUGGGAUAACCCUCGGAAACGGGGGCUAAUACCGGAUAUGACCUUGUCCUGCAUGGGGUGGGGUGGAAAGUUUUUUCGGCUAGGGGUGGGCUCACGGCCUAUCAGCUUGUUGGUGGGGUGAUGGCCUACCAAGGCGACGACGGGUASCCGGCCUGAGAGGGCGACCGGCCACACUGGGACUGAGACACGGCCCAGACUCCUACGGGAGGCAGCAGUGGGGAAUAUUGCACAAUGGGCGGAAGGGUGAUGCAGYGACGCCGCGUGAGGGAUGACGGCCUUCGGGUUGUAAACCUCUUUCAGCAGGGACGRAGCG
Molecule: ribosomal RNA, 422 nt
Filed under: bacterium Ellin5217
Lineage: Bacteria; Bacillati; Actinomycetota; Actinomycetes; Micromonosporales; Micromonosporaceae
Description: bacterial SSU rRNA
Rfam family: Bacterial small subunit ribosomal RNA
Source: RNAcentral